Cucumis melo (muskmelon) is the source of this 2619-nucleotide long non-coding RNA. RefSeq lists it as uncharacterized. NCBI's taxonomy places the organism in Eukaryota, Viridiplantae, Streptophyta, Magnoliopsida, Cucurbitales, Cucurbitaceae. The transcript has 10 exons. The record is from RefSeq and is a predicted model, not a curated record.
GUUUUCCUAUUUCUCCGCCAAAGAAACACCAAAAACCCCAACCUCUUCUCCAUCUCCACCAGGCCGGCCACACAAAAGGACCUUUCUUCUCAUCGACGGUGACCCACAACGUUUUGACUAGCCACUGAAGGGAACUUUUCGUCCGGCCACGACGCGUUUCGGCCAUAUGCUUUUUGGACGGCGAUUUGGUUAUGCAAUUCAAAAGAUCAGAUUUUCCAAACCAUUUCUUCUUUGAAACUUCCACAUCCUUUUACCAGAUUAAGGGGGUUAUGUUGAAGAUGGAAGGGGAAAGAGUAAUUGGGAUGUUUUUUUCUCACAUUCCAGAAAAAAUUAAGAACAAUGACGCAGGAGAUUUGGCCGACAAUCACUACCAUCGGUUUAUGAUAUUGAACUGAUGGGUUCUAUGGUGAUGAAUGCUUAUCGGUUGUCCAUUUCUUGGACCCGAAUUUUGCCCAGUAAGAUUGAUCAUCAGAGUUCAGCUUGCGCAUAUGUUGGAGCAUCUCCAGUUGUUGUAUGAAGAGUACAUUCAGUUUCCAACCACUAUUCGUAUUCAAAAUAUUUGCUUUCAAUAAAUAUGGGAAAUAAAGGUUGUCACCUUACCUUAUCAUGUAGCUUUUAUUGGCUAUUCAUUUUUUUCAGCAAACUCAUAUGUUCCAAGCUCUGUUUCAUCACAAGCCAUCUCUUCACUAUUGUUUUUUCUGCACAAUUUCAAUUAAUCUAUAAGCUAGAGUUCAGUAAGAAGAACAAGAAGAGUUCAGAAAAAAUCAAAAGGAAGAAGACAAACGCACACAUACAAAUACAUUUGCAGGUAAAGAUGAGCUCCCUCUAUGCUAUCAUCAGAUUAUCAAUUCAUAUGAUGAGUUGAAUGACAGUUUUCAGCUCUUGCAUUCUGCUUUUUUAUCAUUUUAUUUGGCUAGAGAGGUGUUGUUCAAAACAGAAAAAUGACUUGCGUUGUGACAAACUUGUAGAAAUGAACCAUGAGCUCGUGGUCAUUCUCAUAAUAUGAACUCACUUUCCCUAGACAGGAUAUGCCAAAUCCUGCAUCUAUAUUAGAAAGAAAGAUCAACACAAGUAUAAAUGUUCCCUUGGAUUAUAAAAGAUGGCUAAUGACACAACAAUCCAGCAGAAAUAGGAAUUUUUUAUAUGUUUUAAUUAAAAAAAAAAUGCUAAUGCUGCCUUUGAUGAUGACAAAAUAAUCGAAUUAAACAGCAAACUAGAAACAAAAUUAUCAAACAGAAGAGUUCAAAAUUUAUAGAAUGACUGAGAAACCUUUUAAUCAAAAGAGAAUGCAGAGCCACUACCAGAUAAGAUGCUUCACAGGCUAGAUCAUGAAACUAGAACAAGCAGUUUCAUACAAACUUGGGAAUAUUAUUUUGAUUACUAUGCUGCUGGUUUUAAAUUUGCACGCUUAACAAUUACCAGGUAUGUACAUCAAAUUAUUUUGAUUAUUAUGUUGCUAGUUUUAAGUUUCACACUUGUGGUUUCUAUUGUGUUACUUGUUGGUUGGGUGCAUUGUUAUAGAUCUCAUAUUGUCUUCACAUCCUAUGGUACUUUGAAUGAACUUGAUGACCUUUUACUUCACUAGUUUUGAGCAUUUUAUUAAAUAUCUUUGUGCUUAGAUGUGUAUUUGAUAAUUGUUUAUAGUUGAUCAAGCUUGAGGAAGAGAGAUGUAAAGAAGCAAAAACAAGAGUGUUAGAGAAUAUCAAUUAGAAAGCAAAAGAAGAGACCAUGGGUGUUGUUCAACGCACCUUGAUAACAUGUGUACCGGGGAGGCAUCAUCAUAUUCAAGGACUCCUAAGCGGAAGCAAGGAUGUGUCCUCUUCUAAAAAGUUGAGAAGCCCCAAAUCAAUAUUUCAAGCUCUCUUUGCUUUCCUUCUCUGGAUUGCAUAAACUGUCAGAAUCAAUGGUCAACAAAUUCACAUGGAUUGUGUCAAGAGCUAUGACAUUAGAAGUAUUAUCAACCGGCGUUGCUGGAAACUACAACGGAGAAUUACAAAUGACAUUGAAUUGCAAGUGCCUUCUCCACUAGUUCCAACUCAGAAGAGCUAUUUUGGGAGGUAUUGUGAACAACAUGGUAAGGGAACAUGGGUUGUUGUUGACGUUUCCUUAGACAAUUUACGCCUAGCUUCUACUCUUAGAUGUAGAAGGUCAUCCGACGCUUAAUCCAAUAAAUGCCCAAUGGUUAUUUUAAGGUUACAUGGCUUGAGCAUGUUGAGGUGGAUGAUCGUGGUGUCCACAAUUUAUACAGCCAGCUAGUUAGCUUGGCCACACGUUUCACGCAAAGCAAUGGAUUGCCACGUUGGAUCAUCAGUGCAAACUUCAGUAUAUGUGAUUGUUCAUUUCUGAAAGGGCCAAACACCAUUAUGUGAAGCUGAGGGAUCAUGUAGAUAGCGAGGCAAUCAGAAUGAUUGAAGUCAUAUCGGGUUGAAAGCUAAGUGAUUGUAUAAAUAGCUAGGCGACCAUUGAAGGUUGAAGAGUGAAAAGGUAUUUAGGAUUUCUUAUUUAAGUCUUGUAUUUUGUUGUAGAAUGUAUAUAUAAACACAAUAUAAGAUUUCAUUUUGUGUAUAUAAAUCUAAAAGACAAACAUUAUAGUUUCUAAAAUAAUAUUAAUUUUAUUGA